CCAAAAUCUGGUCCCUUUUGUUCAUAAUUCUAGCCCAUUUGUAAACUGAACACUAAUAUUUUAUUUUCUCAAGAGGAAAAAACUAGGCCAGCAACUGUACAUUUGAUCUAGGCCAUUUACUUGACAGGAACCACAAUGAACGGUCAUACCAUAAUAUAUUGCCUAUUGAGAAUCUUAGGCCAGCUUUCGGCAGUUAUUUGCCCAAUUGUGUUGUAGAAAAUUUCUGUUAUUCCAAUGGAUUGUACCAUAAUGAAAAGCAUUGCAUACAAGCAUCAGCCUCAUGGAAUACACGGAUAUUUGAAUAUCUUAGAACAUAAAUAUUUCAUUUCUCUUCUGCAUUCAUUUAUUUAACAACAGAGAUUCUCACUGACCAUACAAAAGGUGCGUUAGAAACAACAGUCCAGAUUGAACCACCUGCAGUGGGCCUUCUAGAUGAACAGCUCAGAUUAUCACUUAGUCAUGGAAAUCAAGCAUUGAGGAAGCUUCCCUUGAUGAACAGCCCAACUGAGCACUUGUGGAAAAAGACGAGACCCGAAAGGCCAUCUCGAACCAUUCCUACUUUUCCACCAUUGAUGCACAGGCCCACUCAGGAUACCAAAAAGG
This is a long non-coding RNA of Magnolia sinica, 603 nucleotides long. RefSeq lists it as uncharacterized. Lineage: Eukaryota; Viridiplantae; Streptophyta; Magnoliopsida; Magnoliales; Magnoliaceae. The transcript is spliced from 2 exons. The record is from RefSeq and is a predicted model, not a curated record.